UACGUAGGGUGCAGGCGUUAAUCGGAAUUACUGGGCGUAAAGCGUGCGCAGGCGGUUAUGUAAGACAGAUGUGAAAUGCCCGGGCUUAACCUGGGAACUGCAUUUGUGACUGCAUGGCUAGAAUUUGGCAGAGGGGGGUAGAAUUCCACGUGUAGCAGUGAAAUGCGUAGAUAUGUGGAGGAAUACCGAUGGCGAAGGCAGCCCCCUGGGCUAAGAUUGACGCUCAUGCACGAAAGCGUGGGGAGCAAACAGG
Molecule: ribosomal RNA, 253 nt
Filed under: uncultured bacterium
Lineage: Bacteria
Description: partial 16S ribosomal RNA
Rfam family: Bacterial small subunit ribosomal RNA
Source: RNAcentral